AUUGAACGCUGGCGGCAUGCCUUACACAUGCAAGUCGAACGGCAGCACGGACUUCGGUCUGGUGGCGAGUGGCGAACGGGUGAGUAAUGUAUCGGAACGUACCUUUCAGUGGGGGAUAACGUAGCGAAAGUUACGCUAAUACCGCAUAUUCUGUGAGCAGGAAAGCAGGGGAUCGACAGACCUUGCGCUGAUUGAGCGGCCGAUAUCAGAUUAGCUAGUUGGUGGGGUAAAGGCCUACCAAGGCGACGAUCUGUAGCGGGUCUGAGAGGAUGAUCCGCCACACUGGAACUGAGACACGGUCCAGACUCCUACGGGAGGCAGCAGUGGGGAAUUUUGGACAAUGGGGGCAACCCUGAUCCAGCCAUGCCGCGUGAGUGAAGAAGGCCUUCGGGUUGUAAAGCUCUUUCGGCCGGGAAGAAAUCGCAUAGGCUAAUACCCUGUGUGGAUGACGGUACCGGAAGAAGAAGCACCGGCUAACUACGUG
This 484-nucleotide ribosomal RNA is filed under the name uncultured bacterium. RNAcentral's name for it is "partial 16S ribosomal RNA". It matches the Rfam family "Bacterial small subunit ribosomal RNA", at positions 30 to 507 of the family's 1533-position model. The record is from RNAcentral.